This 8095-nucleotide long non-coding RNA is filed under the name Pelobates cultripes (western spadefoot toad). Lineage: Eukaryota; Metazoa; Chordata; Amphibia; Anura; Pelobatidae. The record is from RNAcentral.
GGAAGAGAUUACAAGUGUUGUGUGUAAAUGCCAAUACAAUAAUAUUAUGAAUGUAGUAUAAAAAUAUAUACUGGCUUAAAUGAACAUUCCACUGCCCAAAUACAAAAUAAACCAUAUUCACUGUUUAGUAUGCAUGCAUUUAAUUAUGCGGUUUUUCAUUGGGGUAAAUCUGAAAACAGCUUGCAAAAACUGCAGGUCUAUUAUCUGCAGCCUUUGCAAGUGCUCGCGUUUUAACCCCGCCCAGACUUUGUGUCUGUCCAAUCACAGAUUUCUCAAUGCAGCGUAACGAGAAGUCUUUGCAAACCAGGUGUUCAGAGCAAUUGGUGCCUCUUAAGUUUAACUCCACUGAGCUAAAUAAACCAGGAAGUAACCGGACCUGCUGUCCAUUUAAAAGCCAAAGGGGGUGUUACCAGGUUAAUUUAUAAAAGGGUCAAUUUCUGUUGAAACCUGCACUUUUUGCAAAAUGAAAAAAGAGCACACUCUUCAUACAGAGAGCUUUUCAGCAAGUUAAAGUCCUUUAUGUGUGUCCCUUUACUGAUAAGGAGAAAAGUACUCCUAUCAAACACACAGGUUUGAAUAUUGUUUAUCUCUGUCCCUAGCUUGAUAUCAUUUCCUUUAACUCUUGUUUUCCUUUUCCAGAUAUCCAAUUCCAAGGCAGAUUUACACCUGGAAUAGUUACUUUUACUGCUUUAACCUCUGGAUUACGCUAUCUUUGCUUAUUUCACUGUCCUCAAAAAUGUUUUAGACUUGAUAACAGAACUCAAGAAAACUUGUCAUUACAACUUUCUCUCUGCUAAAAAAAUGUAUUUUAAGAAACUACAAUACUUCAUUAUUUUGUUAAUGUCUAUAACAUAUUAACACAUGUAAUAACUCAUUUGUAAUACGUUUUUUUCCGGUGUAAAAUAUUUGCCAAUUGUACAAAAAGACUCCAUGUUUUCGUAUGAAUCCCAAUGUGUACUGUAUUCCGUGAAAGGACAAGAUGUUUGUGAGAGAUUAUGGAUGUAGUAAACAUUUUGUGGGUAUUUAUAGUGAUACCAGUCAUGAUUCACAUCCUCAUUCCUUAACGUUAAAUUGACAAAACCAGUUGGAGUACAUUUGUAAUUCUUAUGUUGUAACCAAUUUAAACAAGGAGUAUAUUUAGAAUGAUAAACUCUUAAAGAGAAAACAUUACACUGCAUUUAAAUACGCUGUAUCAAAUGGUGUUCAAACCUCCUAAUUCCCAUAUGAGGACAACUUUAGAAAGACGUUGUUGGACACCAUAGAUGACAGACAACUCUGCAAUAUGCCUUUUUGAUUCCAUCAAAGCAAAAUAAUAGAUAGAUAUGUUAAUCGUUUCAUUUUUAAACCUCAAGGGUAUAUAAUUAAGAAACUAUCAAUUCUUGACACAUCUUAACAUUCUUUGCAUCAUAAUGAAAACUGUUCUGUGCUAUAUUUUUACUUUGUGUAUGUAUACAUGAGCUUAUUGGUUAAAUAUACAUCUCUCUGUGUAUAUGCUUAUUUAUGGACCCCAUUGCAAACGAAUCCGUUGUUCAAUUUUGUCACUGCAUUGUUGUCCAGUCUUUGUGUUUAAUCUAAUAUGGUCUGUCUCUGUCUAUCAGAGUUUCCAGAUGCAGAUAAUACUCAUAUUCUCUGCUAAAUGUUGAGUGGUUUUUUUUUUUUCUUUUGGAAUGUGAGUUCUGAAACUGUGCCGUAUUAAUGUGAAAAAGAAUGCAUAUGGCGACAGUCACCUCGUGGCCACCAGUCUGAUCAGGCACCACAACUUGGCAGCCACCUUCCCCAGCCAUUUGUUAUCCCAUUCAGAGCUCAAUGUUUUUAAAAUUUUUAAAAAUCUUUUGUAAAACCAACCCUACAACCGCGUUGAGUUUUAUUGGUGCAAAGCAUCAGUUUAUAUAGAACUCUUUUGUCUAAAACUUUUGCCACUUUUACUUUCUGAUGUCCAGUUUUUAUUUGCUGGUUGCUAUUAUGUCGUGUUCUCCUACCGAGCAGCUGAAGCUGAUUUCUCAAAAACCGUUCAUACUUGGCACAAUCUCUUUAUACUCGUAGAGGCAAGAAUAGAACUAGGAGGGUUACAUUCUUGUUUGUGAUACGUGUCGCAAUACUUUUUGUAUUUUUAAGCUUGAGGGUAAAUUCCAUUAUCUUGCACACUGUGUGUAGAGCUAGGUUUAUGAAACCUGGCCACGUUUGUGAAAGAUACACUAGUGCAAUCUCUGUCUGCUCACGCCACCCAUAAACUGAUGUUUUGUUUUCUCCUUUGGAAUACCUUUCAAUUUUAUGUUUUUUUUUAAGAAAAAGAGCAUGUUACCAUCUUGAUUUAGUUAUUUUGUGUUCUGUAAUGCAAUGCAUAUAUUCCCCUGUGUGAGUGAUAAAUUUGCAGUUAGGUAGGUAUAGACUUAAUCUACAUAUUGUGCUCCUGAAGUCACUGGUAAAUUAAGAUAUACCAAAAAAUGGACACCGCUGCUGUGCGUGCAGUCAUCCACCCCAAAUAAUGCAAGCAGCGCCCCUCGGUUACUAAGACGCAUGAACAUGCAUCCACUUCAGUUGGGAACUUACAAGUUUAUCAAUUGCAUAGCAGUAAAGGAUGUUUGAAUUACUUUUUAUUUACUCAGCCAUGUUUUUGUUUUGUUUUUUUAAAGAAUUGCACUUUAAAGGGACACUAUAGUCACCAAACAACUACAGCUUAUUGUAGUUGUUCUGGUGUCUAAAUCCUGUCCCUGCAGGCUUUUUGUUGUAAACAAUGUAUUUUCAGAGAAAAAACAUUUGAUUGCCAUUACUGAAGAUGAAAGCGAUUUUCUCUAUCUCUGAAUAUAACUAAAACAGCCGGCUAUGUCUUAUUGUAAAUGCACAGGGAGGCAAGCUCAAAUGUGUUUUUUUAAAGUUAUAAAACUGCAUUUUGGUGCUUGAAAAUGUUGUUAUGGCUUUGUAAUUUGUCCCGGAUUUAAAAUAAGGUUUUGACAUUGGCUGAGUCAUCCAGCUCCCACUAAUUAUAAUUGUUUGUUGUGAAGGAGUUUCUCCCAUACAUUUUCUCUGAAUCUCCCAGUGAUUCAGCUCAGCCAGCUCUCCAUACGUAUCAUUAAUGUAUCUUCAUGAGUUCAUUCUGCAUGUUUUAUGUUUAUGGAAGCCAAGCUCAUAGAAUGAAGAGGUUGUAAUCCCUUUUUGCUAAAAUGCCCAUGAUUGUGUCUAGGUUUUUUUCUUUGUUCAUGUGCCAUAUAAAUCUGUAAGUAGUCUACCCAGUCCUUACUCUUACUGCCAGAUAGUGGUGUUCUCCCACACAUUCUUUGUACCAGGUUUCCACCCACCCUUUGUUAUUUAUUACUGGGUACCAAUGUACCCACAUUCUUUGUUCUUGCUGCUGAGUACCACUGUCUACCCUUUCCCAGUUUCUGUUGCUAGCGGCUUGUGCCUACUCCACCAUUUGUUCCUGCUGUUGAGUACCAGUGUCUACCCAUCCUUUGUUCAUGCUGCCAGGGACAACCCAUCCUUUGUUCCUGCUGCUGAGAACCAUUCUCUACCCAUCCUUUUAUCCUGCUACUGAGAACCAUUCUCUACCCAUCCUUUUGUUCCUGCUGCUGAGAACCAUUCUCUUCCCAUCCUUUGUUCCUGCUGCUGAGAACCAUUUUCUGCCCAUCCUUUGUUCCUGCUGCUGAGAACCAUUUUCUGCCCAUCCUUUGUUCCUGCUGCUGAGAACCAUUCUCUGCCCAUCCUUUGUUCCUGCUGCUGAGAACCAUUCUCUAUCCAUCCUUUGUUCCUGCUACUGAGAACCAUUCUCUACCCAUCAUUUGUUCCUGCUGCUGAGAAACAUUCUCUACCCAUCCUUUGUUCCUGCUACUGAGAACCAUUCUCUGCCCAUCGUUUGUUCAUGAUGCGAGGUGUCAGUGUCCACCCACCAUAGUUUCACCUGCUGAGUACCAGACAGUAGAACGAAAGGUGAAUGGACAUUGUUACUGGAUAGCAGGGACGAUAGCUUGGAUAGACACUGGUAUCAAGCAAGACAAACGGUGUGUGGAAGGACACUUGCCUAUGGAACAAUUAAUAGGUGAACACUUGUACCCUACUUUAGCAGCAAGAACACAUGGACACAAGUACCAAUUUUCACCCUUUCUGUGGUAUUGUUUUCUGAAGCAAACAUGACUACGAAACACGGUUCCAUUGCUAUCACAUAAAUAUACUAGGCUUUUAACUAUAUAGUGCUCUUUUUUGACCAUAUGAACAAAGGAUGAUGUGAUAACUUUCUGGACACUCCAGGUCUUUUGAUAUUCUUUGGGACUCCUGUUUAAAAUAAAUAAAUACAUUAUUUCAUUUUUUAUUUUAUUUUUUUGUGUGCAAAACCUGUAUAAAAAUAACAGUACACAAUCAUGGCAUAGGAAAAUGGUGUCAUUCCUGGUAGCCAUAGCAUCUUUUUUUUUUUUUUUGGACUCUAUUUGUGUGGUGAAAACAUUUAUGGUCGUACUGUGUAAAUGUCCAGGUGUGUAUAUGUCACUACCUUACUCUUUGGAAACUCAUUUGAUUGAUAUUAGCCUAUUGAAAGGUUGAAUUAUCCCGGUCUGAAAUCAAGACUUUCAUUCUGGAUUUUUAUAUGGGGAUGAGCUUUCAAUCGAAGCACUGGGUAAACAGUUAAACAAUAUUCCUUUGUUUCCAUGUCAAGUAAAGUGUUUUUUUAUUUUGACACAGUAAAUUUCUAAGGCUAUUGUUCUGGUUAACUCAUAAAAGCUGCAUGCAGUCUCUUAAGUGUCCUUUUAAAAAAAAAAAAAAACCUAUCUUUUUUUUUUUUUUUUCUUCUCGAUAAUCACUUAAUUUGACCACUUUACUGUUGAAAUGUAGAAAAGCUUUUUAAACAUAUAGAUUGAGUCAGCCCUUUGUACACCAAAGAACUUAUCCAUUCUGUUGGUAUGGUCCAUAAGAUGAGUUUUUCACUAGACGGGUAUUCAUAUAACCUUUUUAUCUUGCAGGUGUUUAGGAUUUCAGUUUCUGCAAACAUAGGCCACAAUUACUGUGGUUCUAAAUGCUUGAUGUCAAUAUAAAUCUUAAAGAUGCCUUGAGCUGAGGAUUUGCUUGUAAGUUUUUUUUCAAAAAUCUGACCAUUCUGCAGUUAUCGAUAAAUCAAGUAGAAAACCACUAGUCAAACUGAAUCGGUGUUUAUAGACUAUUCUUCAUAUGUUGGAGAGCUUCAAAUGAUCCUUCACGUUCCAUUACAUAUAUCAGAGGAAGAUUAUACAGGAAAGUUAAUAUAUGGUAGUGAUAUUGUUUUUCAGAUAGUUCUGGCCAGUGGAAUCGGUGGAAUGAUCCUUCCUGCUGUCGUAGUUCCACGUAUAGAACCUGCUUUUAUUUUAUUUUUUUACAAUUCUUUAUUUUGUUUUUUCAGCAAUAAAAGCAGGUACAGCAUUAUUGAGUCAUAGAGAAGCAAUACAACUUUCGAUCGGUGUAUGUGCACCGUAUUAAGGGGGUGUAUCAGGAUCUUAUAGCGGAUCCAAGUACACUAACAGGUGGGGUACAGUACAAUCAUACAAUCUCACAUUUUGGAAUGUGUAUGGGUUCGGUUGUGCGUUUUUUUUUAUGCUGAGUUGUAGCCUAGAUGUUAUUGUCGGUUUGAGUUCGGGUGGUUGCGAGCUUCCUAAUUCCCGAGUAGAAUGGGGUGGUUUGUUUAGGUUUCUACCUUGUAGCUUCUAAUGAGCUUGUCUGUUGUCAGUAGUUUUUGCGUGUUCGUGGUGUCCCCUUAUGUGCAGAUUUGUAUUUUUGUCCAUUCAACUGGUAUUCUGUAUUUUUGUUUAUGGUUCGAUUAUGAGUCGAUUUUGGUGACUGGCCGUGUUUGUAUUGGGGUUGGUUUGGUAGCACUCUAUCUAUGUCCGAGGGCUUUUUGGUUGGUUAUAAGAUGUGCGCUUGGAGGCUAGGUGUUAAUGUGGGUGGGGUAUUGUCUUUGGGGGUCCAGUUGGGAGUUUUUCUUGCUUUGAUGAACGUCACAGAGCAAAUUAUAUUUUGUGUGAUUGGGUCAGAAUGAUAGUGCCUCUCUAUGUUCUUUUCAUUCACAAGACCACCAGUGAUUCAUGAUAGAAGAAAUUAUAGCACAGAACAGGAUUAAUCUACCAAACAAUAUCACACCAUUAGAGAAAAUAAAUGUUUAUUAAAUUAACAUUCAUUUAAGGAAAGACUUCUGAUGUUGGCUAUUUGAUAUUUACCUUGGGGUGAAAGACAUUUGUACACAAAUCCUCAUUUUACACAUAUAAGCAUGUGAUGAUGAUUUUUCCAUCCAUAGAUGUGAGCGUUUUUUAGCUAUCGAAAAGGAAUAUGGUAUAUGGCAGGGUUGACUAAGGACUAAUGGUUAAAUCCUUUGUGCCUUUCUAGAUUUGUCUAUUCCAUGUGCCAUUGAAGACUCCUCAAGCCCUUUGUUAUUGCUUGGCGCAUGGAAUAGGAGUUGAUCUGUUUUCAGCAUAUCAUACUUUUGAGUUUUUGCCAAACAUUGCAAAGUUACAAAGCUAAUUUAAAAUAGGUAAGGAAUUGUAGUGUGGGUGAAAACAUUAUUUAUAAUGCUAUUUGCAUAGAGAUUCAUAUUCAGCUUUGUUCGGUUCUAGGUCAAGGUUUUCGUCAGUAUGGUGAAGGACGUAGGUACGUCUGGACUCUUGAACAUUGUCUUAUGAUCACCUUUCUUGGUUGCACGUCAAGUAUGUAGAUCUUUUACUGUGCUGCACGUUAAUAUCAAAAUUUGACCGUGCAUCAAAACACUCUUUGUGUUCAGAUACUUGGCUAAGAAAUAGGUUGUGUUCUUUCUGAGAAUGCUGAUGAUUCACUAUGAUGCUUACAUCAUCAAGAAACAUGAUGCUUUUGUGAGUAAUAGUAUAAAUUGUACACCGAAGGUGGAAUCUGGGAAGUGAAAUCACACCAGUGUUGCGAAGUAAAUUUAAUGAGGAUGAGAUGAACAAUCCAUUCAUUCAAAUGGUUUGUUAUUUUCCUCAAGUUCAGAGAUACAUAUAUCAUAAAACAGUUGAACUGUGAAGACAAUCUGGCUGUUGUUUUCAUAUCAUAUCAUCAUGUGAAUAUUUGCCCUUAGACAUUUUUUUAAAUUUUAUUUUUUAUUAAUACUUUUUUUGGUCUGUAGAUAUAAACAAUUUAAGCUUACGGACAGCUAGUUGAGAAGUGAUCCCAGAUCUGGUAAACUUGAUUGGGAGAAGAAUAUCAUAGACUUUCUUAAAUUCUUAGAAUGUUAUGUUCAGUGGAAUUCUUGUGUUUUGAUUACACACUAAGUGGACUUGGGUGUUUUUACAGGCGAAGUACUCUUCCUUCCACGUUUUAGUUAAAUCCAACUUCCACGAUGCUUGUUCGGUAACACGGAUUUGCUUUUACUUUAGUGACCCAUGUAGUCUUUGUUUUAGAGCUUUGAUGACUACCUUUGGGAAUUUCAACUGUGGUAGAUCAUUUUCCAUAAUGUUUGCACCACAUAGUUCACAGCUAAUGGUAGACUAGGUUUCUAGCCAUUUACAUUUAAUCAGACAUAAGUGUUUACAUUUACAUUUAAUCAGAGAUAAGUGUUUUUCCUUUCUUAGAGAUAGCUAGCAUCUUUUUUACAUAUCUGCCUCUAAGUAAAAAAAAAUUCUCAUAAAUAUAUUUUAUAAACUUCUUCAGAUCAUCAUCAUGGGUAAAUUUCCAAAUAACUUCAUUCACUGCUGACACACCUUACACCGAAGAAAUUUAUAUCUAUUGUGAGAAUCUGGUUUACAAAGCUAAUGCCGAACGUCAAGUAAAAAGUAAUAUAUGCAGCACUUUUUUUAUUUUGUGUUCCAUUUUCAUUUAAAAUUACCGUUUUGAAAAGCAAUGUUUUGUCAUGUGCGGACUGGACCAGGUGGUAACAAGCAUAUGCAUUUAUUAACCUGAUUUGUACUGGUUUGGUUUUCUAUAUAAGCAGUAUUGUAAUUGGUCUGAUGUUUGUGUAUGUUAAUCGUUACUCUGUUUAUUGGAGUUUGACUUAAUACUUGAACUAUUUCUAAAGAGGUUCAGACCAAAGUUUGUUUGUCUGGUUUCAAGAGUGUUUAAUAAAAUGUAAAAAAAAAAAAGUUUGACGUUUUAUUUCACUAAUAUUUUGUCUGAACAUUUUGAAAUCUGUAUGCAC